UACGUAGGGGCCAAGCGUUGUCCGGAUUUAUUGGGCGUAAAGAGCUCGUAGGCGGUUCGAUAAGUCGACGGUGAAAUCUCCACGCUCAACGUGGAGGGGUCCGUCGGUACUGUCGUGACUCGAGUCCGGUAGGGGAGAAUGGAAUUCCCGGUGUAGCGGUGAAAUGCGUAGAGAUCGGGAGGAACAUCUGUGGCGAAGGCGACUGCCUGGACCAGCACUGACACUGAGGCACGAAAGCGUGGGGAGCAAACAGG
Molecule: ribosomal RNA, 254 nt
Filed under: uncultured bacterium
Lineage: Bacteria
Description: partial 16S ribosomal RNA
Rfam family: Bacterial small subunit ribosomal RNA
Source: RNAcentral